Molecule: non-coding RNA, 4544 nt
Organism: Malus domestica (apple)
Lineage: Eukaryota; Viridiplantae; Streptophyta; Magnoliopsida; Rosales; Rosaceae
Source: RefSeq, a predicted model, not a curated record
UGAAAGGUAGUAGGUGGGAAAUGCUUGGUCGGUAGGAAGAAAAGCAUGAGGACUAAUAUAACAAGAGAGAGUCCACAUUCACAUUGAAGGUGGUAGGAAACUGCUGCUUCCUUCACAGGAAGAAAAGCAUGCAUAAGGCCUGAUAUAUAUAACAAGAGAGAGUCCAUUGUCCACACUCCAUACCAUACUGCAUAUUCCAAUUCUUUGAGAGGCUCUUUUCUUUAGUUCAUUUGUCUUUAAUUCUCUUAUGGGCAUUCAACUUGCCUCUUCUUCUUCCUUGCCUCCUUCAUGGACAUAUGAUGUAUUUUUGAGUUUUAGAGGUGAAGAUACACGCUUUACUUUUACAGAUCACUUAUACGCGGCCUUGUACCGUAACGGAAUCGACACAUUCAUUGAUCGCCAUCUUAAAAGAGGAGAAGAGAUAUCACCGGCUUUUCUAAAAGCAAUUGAAGAGUCGAGAAUUUCAAUCAUUGUAAUCUCUGAAAAGUAUGCAUCGUCAAGAUGGUGCUUGGAUGAACUCGUAUAUAUCCUUGAAUGUAGAAGGUCAAGGCAGCAAAUAGUUUGGCCAGUUUUCUACAAGGUGGAUCCAUCCCAUGUACGAAAUCAAACGAGUAGUUUCGGUGAUGCAUUUACAGGACUUGAGUGCAAAUACAAGGACGAGGAGAAGAUCCUCUUAUGGAGGAGAGCUCUCAGAGAAGCAGCAAAUUUGUCAGGUUAUACUGUCAAAGAGGAAGAGUAUGAAGCUACAUUUAUCGAUAAGAUUGUUACAGAGAUCUUAGUCAAAGUACUACAACGUACACAUUUGAAUGUGGCCAAAUACCUAGUUGGAAUACAAUCUUGCGUUCAAGAGAUGAAAGAGCUUUUAGGUGAUAAGUUUCGAAUUUGGGGAUCCAAUAUUCUUCAAAAUCAUACAGUUACAAGGCAUCUUGUCACAUAUAAUAUGUCAUACAGUGACAUCAGACAAUUGAAGGGAUUUAAGAAUUUGGAAAAUCUUAAAUAUAUGAAUUUACGCGGGUGCAAAUUUCUGGAAAAAAUUCCCGACUUAUCCGGAAGUCCAAAUAUAGAGUAUUUGGAUCUUCAUGGCUGCACAAAUUUGGUUGAGAUUGAUGAUUCUAUUGGAUUCCUCGAUAAACUUGUUACAUUAAAUCUUAUGGGGUGCUCUAGGCUUACGAGGUUUGCACCAAGACUUAGAUUGAGAUCCCUUAAAAGGCUUUAUCUUCAUGGUUGCACAAGGCUGGAGAGUUUUCCAGAAAUAGAGGAUGAGAUGGAAUCUUUAAAGCAUUUGGAUAUACAAAAAAGUGGCAUAAGAGAAUUGCCUUCAUCAAUUGCAUAUCUUACUGGGCUUGCCGAAUUGUUAGCAAUGGAAUGUGAGAAUCUUAUAGGUACAUCAUUACAUCAUCUUUAUGGGUUGCAACAUCUCUCUGGGGUUUAUUUCAAUGAAUGCCCAAAACUGGUGACAUUUGGGAAGAACAAGAUGAAGUUUGAUGAAGUUUCAUCCAGCAGUACCGAAUCUCAACUGCUUUCAACUGACUUAGAGACUUCACAAGACAAGUGUAGCACAUAUGCUUUUCCCAACCUAUAUUAUCUUUAUCUUGAAGGAUGCAAUUUAUCAGAAAGUGAUUUUCUUGUGCUUCUUGAUUGCUGGUCCACAUUAACAUGGCUUGAUCUGUCGAGAAAUAAUUUUGUUAGUCUUCCGGAUUGCAUUAGCAAAUUUGUCAACUUGGAAAGACUUAAUUUGAGAGGUUGCAAGAGGCUUCGGAAAACUCCACAAGCCCUUCCACCAAAACUAUACGAGUUAUAUCUGGAUGAUUGCACAUCAUUGGAGAAAAUUUCAAAACUGCCCCCGGAGCUUCAUGUUCUGCACCUGUCAAAUUGCUUUAGACUAUGUGGCCAUGGGGUGGCAAAGUUGGAAAAUAGUUUGUUGAAUGAGGGAUCUCUUCGGCGCUCUAAAUUGGAAGUUAUUUAUCCAGGCAAUGAAGUUCCAAAGUGGUUCAACUAUAACUCUAACCAUCCCACAACCAUUCAACGUAUACCGGCUGAAUAUGACUGGAGGAGAAAAGACUUUAUUGGAGGCAUUAGUUUUCCAGCUCCUAUAAAAUAUGAAGGGAGGGGAGAAAACUUUGUUGGAACUAGUAGUUUUAAAAUUCCUCUAAAUUUACAAGUGGGGGAUACGUUAUUAGGAUUGGUUCUAUCUACUGUUUUUGAACCAUCGAAUUUUAAUUAUUAUGUUAUCAUCAACGGAACAGAAGGCUCUAGACUAUGUACUUACAGGAGACACUAUGUAUGGCCUUGUACGAACUUGGAGGCAGCUCAUGUGGAGCUCAAGUUAGUAGAUUUAGAAAAGAAGCAGGGAGGUAUUUGUAAUGUUGAAUUUGUUUUCCGCAGGGGCGCACGCAUUAAAAGUUGCGGGGUGCACCCACUAUUGCGCAAAGAAGACGAAUGGCUUCCUUGUCUUUGGGACCAACAAGUAGUCUUGGGAAGAGGCCUUGUCCACUUGGAUCCUCAGAUACCGUCCACGAGGAAUAUGAUCGGCAACGACAAUGGCUUUCCUUAUCUUCGAACCCGGCGGAUUGAUCUUAAUGUUCCUUUUGAUAUUGAGGAGGAGGAACAAGAGCAACCAUCCACUUCAGAUGAUUCACAAUUUUUUCUUCAUUAGGAGUUUGGGUGUGAGAUGCAAUACAAUCUUGAUGAAAGGAAAUGUACAAGCUAGCGAGGCUAUCAGUAGUAGUAUGGACACUGGUGGAGGUUGGCAGCUGGCAUAUAUAUAUUCUGACCGAGCAGGCGAAGACGGGAAGAAGGAAGGAGGAGUUCAAAGAGUGUAUUUGCAUCAGGAUAGUGCACUUUGGUGUCAGCCUGCGUCGGUUGUUUCAAUUUCUGGUGUAAGACAAGAAAGGAAGCUCAUUCAUGCUGGUCUGGUUAGUCAGCCUGAUGUUUCAGAAACUUUCUUGUUUGUCAACCUUCUAUGUUGUCGGGUGCAUCGAUUCUUGGAUAUUUGUUUACUUGAAGGUGCCUGAAACUAAGGGCAUGCCUCUUGAAGUCAUCUCUGAGUUCUUUGCUGCAGGUGUAAACCCAGCUGCUGCUGAUGCAUCUGCGGAUUUCAAUGAAAAGUGAUUUGAUUGUUUAGAGGGUUUGAAAUUUGGUUUUAUUUUAGACUGGGAUUGUGAGGACAGGACUUGAGUUGGAGAAGUGCUUAUGACUAGAUUGCUUUUUUUGAAAGUGAUUUUCUAUCAUCACUGUCCCUCCCUUAAUGCUGCACAAGUAUAUUUGAUACCAUGCUUCCUAAUCAUAGACUCAUAAGCCUAAGCCGAGCCCAGUUGGCGUGUAGCACCAGCAAUAGGAAAGUCUGCUGAGAAAAGUCAGUCAUCGUCUUCACUAAAUUGAGUUAGAGGAAUUAGGGUUUUAGAUUUGAAAAGAUCCAAACUUUAUCAUUCUCUCCGAAAGUAAUCAGAGAAAUGGAAAGUCAAUCAAAGGACGGAGACUCGCUGGAGAAGCGGCCCGGCAUCUUCUUCCUCGACUCCCCCGGCGUCGGCAACCGCUCUCUCAUUACGCGUAAGCUCUCUCUCCUUUGACCGAUACUAAGCAUGAUCUGUUGAUUUGUUGGAUUACUGGGUUUGGAUUUUGGCGAUGCUUCUCAUUCUUCAUCGUCAUCUCAGCCGGUAGUCAAUGGGUGGAAUAUCUCUACAAUGUACUACACAGCUGACGUUUCGGUAUGGAUGGCUCAUCUCCAUGACGAAUUUUCGAUUGAGUCCCUCCCAAUAUUUGACCAGUUGGCUGCCUUGAUCUUGGUUUUCGACACAACUGAGUUGUCGUCUCUGUCUGCGCUUCAGAAAUGGGUAUCUCGAACUGAUCUUCAAAAGUUCGAUAUACUAGUGUGCAUAGGGAAUAAGGUUGAUCUUGUUCCGGGUCACCCGGUUCAUACCGAAUAUAGAAGACGACUGCAGAAGCUUGGAGACCCGUUUGCUGAUGACGGUCCAGGGUUCACUGUGUAUGGAAUCACCGAGGCUGAAGGAAGCAGUUUAUUGGGGGAUGACGAGUCAUCAUAGGAGGCCAGAGGCACAUGUUUGGAAUGGUGCACUGAGCAUAACAUUGAGUUCGUCGAAGCUUAUGCUGAUUUUAACAAAUGUAAGGCAGCCCUUCUUUCUGACUCGUAUUUUAUGGCAAGUUUUAUACGAAAGUGAAAGUUUGAAGCCGGAUGAGAUGUCAAGUUGUUACUAGGCAGCAGUUUAGGAGUGGUUAGGGGAAUGUGGUUUAGCCAAUUACAUAAAAACGUGGUCGUCACAACUAAAAAUUUCUCGGGAAUGUGGGAGAAUAAUAGGGUUUGGCCAAUUAGGCGUUUGACUAAUAUAUGUACCAAGAGUGGCUUGAGCGGCAGAUCAACUUAAUCAAUUGGCAUAACCACAUAAGCAGCACACAGGAUAAACUCAAUUGAACGAGUUGGUGCUCAGGCUCUUUUGUUCAUGAAGAAAUUUUUCAUUAUUGUGCCUGGAACAGAGGUGGGAUACCACAUAUUAUUAGAUAAGUGGAGAGAAGUUUUAUUUGUCUAA